UACGUAGGGGGCAAGCGUUGUCCGGAUUUAUUGGGCGUAAAGAGCGUGUAGGCGGCCAUUCAGGUCAGCUGUGAAAACUCGAGGCUCAACCUCGAGACGUCGGUUGAAACCGUUUGGCUAGAGUCCGGAAGAGGAGAGUGGAAUUCCCGGUGUAGCGGUGAAAUGCGCAGAUAUCGGGAAGAACACCCGUGGCGAAGGCGGCUCUCUGGGACGGUACUGACGCUGAGGUGCGAAAGCGUGGGGAGCAAACAGG
Molecule: ribosomal RNA, 253 nt
Filed under: uncultured bacterium
Lineage: Bacteria
Description: partial 16S ribosomal RNA
Rfam family: Bacterial small subunit ribosomal RNA
Source: RNAcentral